This 461-nucleotide ribosomal RNA is filed under the name uncultured Bacillus sp. RNAcentral describes it as "bacterial SSU rRNA". It matches the Rfam family "Bacterial small subunit ribosomal RNA", at positions 920 to 1382 of the family's 1533-position model. Lineage: Bacteria; Bacillati; Bacillota; Bacilli; Caryophanales; Bacillaceae. The record is from RNAcentral.
CCCGCACAAGCGGUGGAGCAUGUGGUUUAAUCGAAGCAACGCGAAGAACCUUACCAGGCCUGACAUGCAGAGAACUUUCCAGAGAUGGAUUGGUGCCUUCGGGAACUCUGACACAGGUGCUGCAUGGCUGUCGUCAGCUCGUGUCGUGAGAUGUUGGGUUAAGUCCCGUAACGAGCGCAACCCUUGUCCUUAGUUACCAGCACGUUAUGGUGGGCACUCUAAGGAGACUGCCGGUGACAAACCGGAGGAAGGUGGGGAUGACGUCAAGUCCUCAUGGCCUUUAUGACCAGGGCUACACACGUACUACAAUGGCCGAUACAAAGGGCAGCGACACUGCGAGGUGAAGCCAAUCCCGUAAAAUCGGUCUCAGUCCGGAUUGGAGUCUGCAACUCGACUCCAUGAAGUUGGAAUCGCUAGUAAUCGUGGAUCAGCAUGCCACGGUGAAUACGUUCCCGGGCCUU